CCCUUCUCUCUCUGCAACUGCUAACUUGGUUAACAUCGGGCCUUAACAUUUAGCAAGAACAAGGUUCAAGAAACAUGCCUCCUCAAUCAUCAGGUCUCUUUUCUGAAAGAAGAGAGUUGAUGGGAAUGGGUGGUGUUGGGAAAAAGAAGGUAUGUUUUUUUUUUGCCUAGCUAAUUGAAUUAUAUAAAUUCCCUUACCGUUGUAGCAGUGAUGUUGGUUUAAUGACCAAUUAUGAUAGGAAGUCUCUUUUCAGUUUAUCUUAAUCAAAUGUAUAUCUAUGCAAGAGGAUUACGUGAUUCUAGAUGAUGAUUCUAGAUAAGGAUG
Molecule: long non-coding RNA, 324 nt
Organism: Cornus florida
Lineage: Eukaryota; Viridiplantae; Streptophyta; Magnoliopsida; Cornales; Cornaceae
Exons: 3
Source: RefSeq, a predicted model, not a curated record